Molecule: long non-coding RNA, 1964 nt
Organism: Agelaius phoeniceus (red-winged blackbird)
Lineage: Eukaryota; Metazoa; Chordata; Aves; Passeriformes; Icteridae
Source: RefSeq, a predicted model, not a curated record
GCCAGUCCUUCAGAGCUGAUAAGAAGAAAUGAAGACUGUGGUUACAGUUACAGUGCAUUGUAUGUACCUGGAACUCUUCUUAGCUCUGGAUCAGGCAAUUAAAGAUAUUUUUAACUUCCAGUCUUCAAAAGGAGAAAUUGUAAGUGCAUAGCAGGCCUGCCAGGACUGGAGUGAGGAUGAAACAACACAGUCCAGUGUUUUUUAAGGAUGGGAUUGAAAUUGGCUAGGAAAGGCUGUCCAGCCUGGGAGCUGCAGAAGGGAACACAGCAGGCAAGAGGAGAGUUUCCCAACAAGGGAAAAGUGGAAGAGAUUAUUUUGAAAAACAUCUGCCACUUGGACAGCCCAAAGGAAUACAAGCAGUGGAAAUCCACUUCUCUUUUGCUGAAUGAGGACUGUCUACUUUCUAUGAAAGAUGCUGAAAACAACUUCUGAUUUGAGUGCUCCUCUUUUCUAUUCAUGAUAUUUGAAUCUUCUUUGGCUCCAAGCUGCACCAGCUGUUUUCCACCCUAAUCUUCUUUCCCGUAGCAAUCUGGCCGCGUUUGCAGCAGCGGUGGUUCCGCCGGGUGAGGAUGAAGUACUGCAGUUGUCCUUGGCGUGUUCUUGCCGGCUAAACCAGUGGAAUCUCAUUAGGGUAGAUUCCUUCAUGGCCGCUUAUGGAUGCCUUAGGGUGGAAGAUGCCUGUGGUCUGCAGAGAUAAAGGCCUUCGGAAAGGAGGAGCAGAGGCUUAUCGGUGCUGCCAGUGAAAGAUGAGCAUCUGGAGUCUUUUUAGAGUUGGGCCGGCUCUUUCUGUGCUGUUCUGUAGGCACUCAAAUAACAUUUGUGGCAAAGCUCAAAGGGCCGUACCUGUUCCUGCAGCUCUGGAAAAGCACGGCUUUAAUGGCAUUAAUGGCAUUAAUCAGCGAAGGUGCAAAACCUGGUAAUACUGGAAUAGUUUUUCCUUCUCCGGGCAGACAAUACGCUGUAGUGCUGCCUGCGGUGCUCCUCACGCAUUUGAAACCAGCCGGAGCUGCCAGCGGCAGGGCGGGAGCAGCGCUGCGGCCCUCCGGGACACACGAGAGCUCCCGGAGGAAAACACGGGCUCGCCGGGGCCGGGACAGCCGCGCACCCCGCCCCGCCCCGCCUGGCGUCAUGGAAUUCCAGGGCGCUCCCGCCAAUGGCGGCGGGGGCACGUCCGGUGGCACGGGGGGGGACCGGCCCCGCCGCUGACCUCGGGGCUCGGGCACGCCCGGCCAGGCAGGGCCGCAGCCGGGAGCGCGGAGGAGCAGCUCCGCCUGCGGGAGAAGGGAGCGGGAACCGCCGGACGGAGAGCCCUUCCUCCGCACCCCCGGGAGCGGGCAGAGCUAAAGCUGACAGGGACGAGCUAUGGAUUGUUAACCUCCGGGCAGCUUCCUGCGGCUGGGAACUGGGGCUGCCCUCUUCUAACUUUUCCAUCAUGGGAUGUGUGUGUUGUGUGGGGAAUUGAUGCCAAUUUCUGUGCCUGGCUUUUAGAGUUUACUGAGCAUUUGCAAAUAGUCUGAUUGUAUAAUACUGAACAGCUCAGAGUUCACUUUGGACUGUCCGGUAAGGUGCUGUUCUCUCAUAAAAUGCUAUGAAUAGAUAAAUCAAUCCACCAGUACUUCUGUAAGUAUAAAUAAAGUCCUUUGUGGUUUCUCUUUCCUGACAGCCACCUCUCAUAAACUCACCGUAGGGUCAGAGGUGUGUGUGUGUGUGUGUGUGUGUGUGUGUGGCAUAUCUGGUCAUGUCUGUGUAGUGCAGCCCGUUGUUUUUAUCUGAGCACUAAUGCAGACUAUCUCUAUUUUAGCAGGGUGUUCUGCCCACGAUAACACUCUCUUUCUUGUCAGGUUUGAUUAGCCCCAAGUGAAUGCUCACAUGGCUAAACCACUUCUGCUGCUGGAGGUAGUUUGGAUGUCUCCACGCAGAGCUGCAUUACAUCAUCAUCCGUAAUAAAGAUUUUGCAAAUCAAA